GGUAGAGAUUUGAGAAGCCUUUCCUUUUUUUGCAUUCAUAAAAAUUCUUCUGUGUGAAAAAGGAAUCAGGCCAGUUUUAACAAACGGAAGCAGAAAAUUCGAAGUAACUGCAACAGCAGUUACAUGUCAAUUAAGCCUGCAUAUAUUAUACAUUACAUAUGUAUUUUAUAUGUACACACACAAAUAUAUAUAUAAGCACAUAAGCAGUACAGGUAUAAACUAAUGAUCUGGGCUUGAGAAAUAAGCAGACAUUAAUAAAGAAGACUUUAAUCCAAAGUCCUGUGGUUGAAAAGUAGCUUUUAAAGGAAUGGGGAUUAUGUUUUGCCUACCUAGUAGGCAUAUGUUAGGUUCUAGAAGUGCUCUUCCCUGGUUAGGAUUAUCUUGGUUUCUGUUGGAUGUUGUAGCAAAACCUCACAGUGGGUGGCUUAUAAACAACAGAAACUUAUUCCUCACAGUGGUGGAGGCUACAAGUCCAAGAUGGAGGCACCAGUAGAUUUCCUGUCUGGCUGGUUCACACUUAUAGUUCUGGCUGUGUCCUCAAACCAUUGGAGGAGAGGCCUCUUUUGGGGGUCUCUUAUAAGGAUAUUGACCCCAUACUGGGUUUCCUCCCUCACGACCUUACCACCCCCUAAAGGCCCCACUUCCAAAUACUGUCACUUGGGGUGUCAGGACUUCAGUUCAUGAGUGGGGGGGCAUGCAAAACAUUCAGACCACAGGCUGCUCAUCACCACUGUUCUCUAGAAUGAACUCUCGAGCACCAAUCAUCUGUGCACAGUUGAAUUUCAGUCUAACCCAGAACAGUCUGUUUAAGCAGCAUUAAAUGAUGUUUUUUUCUGCUUUCUUUGAAGUAACAUUAAUUCAUCUGGAGUCUUCCUCUUUCCCACCCAGAAUUAGGAAAAAGACUCCAAAGAGCACACAGUUUUCAAGUAUCUUCAAAGAAGGGGUCUUCUCCCAUCCCACGGCCACCUGAUGGCAAAAAGCCUCAGGAAAGAUAGGGCUAAGAAGCUCAAAGAGGAACAGUGGAAAGCAUGGAAGAGGAAAGAAAUUCAAGUAUGUUCCUUUUCAUUAUUUGCAACUCAUUGGCUUUUAGCUAUCACCAGGUGGAAUGCGGGGAAGGAAAGAAUGAUGGAAAAGAGGUCUCUGUGAGAAAGGAAGAGAAUAGGAAUUUAAGGGGGGAAGGCUUAAAACCUCCUUCUCUAUAUUGACUGUGGAUAAUAAAUUAUCCUAUGAGAAAAAUUAGAGUAGGAACUACAUGAAAAUGGCAUCUCUCUCCCCCUCCCAUCCUGAGUAACUCUCCUAAGCUGUUGCCUCCAUAAAUAGGGACACUGUGCUAGUCCAUUUUCCAUUGCUCAAUCUGAAUUGCACAGAGAGAAUAGCUUAUAAAGCCCACAGAUUUGUUCAGCUUAUUGUUCUAAAGGUUGGGAAGUCCAAGACUGAGCAGCUGGGUCUGACUGGGACCUCCAGAGGACGUCACAUGGUGAGACACAGCAGCAUGCUGACUUGUCCCUCUUCCCCUUCUUACAGACCCACUGCCACAGCAAUGGGGGCCUCACCUCACAACCUCCUCUAAUCCUGAUUACCUCCUGAAGGCUCAACUGGCCCUACCUCUUAAUAUGUCAUAAGGGGGAAUGCAUUUCAAUAUUUGGUGGGGACAUUCAGACUGUAGCAGACACAACCAAAUUAUAUUGUUCUGUUGUGUGCAUGUGCAAAUAUGUAAAAACUGUUAUACAACUAUAUGUAAUUCCAACUAUUUUGUUAAAUUAUAAUGCAUCAAUAGAAAAGUUAAGAAAAACAUUAUCAGACACAAAUGUGGUUCUGACAUUUAUGGGCAGGUAUCUACAAGAAGAGUAUGUUUGUCCUGUAAUUUGCAUGAUGGUGUUUCUGGAGGUUGGGGCAUGGGGACCUGCCCCAACCUCCAUUUACUUGGCUUCUCGUUGACUCAUGGGCAUCCAUCUCACCCUGGCAGGAUCCCUCCAGACCUGCUGUAAUGCAGCCACUGGUUUUGCCUAAGUUUGGCUCCAUACUUGAUUUAUGAAUUGCUGGCAUCACCACUUCUUUGAUUACAGUAGCUUUGACUUGAGACUUCCCACAAAAUGUUCAGUUUCAUGUUUGCAAUCAGGUAAUACUUUCAACACAAGAACAGGUUCCUCACAGCCCUUAUCUCUGUUCUCUUCUUGUUACUUAGUCCUUGAAGUUUAUCUGCAUGGAUAUCUACCUAGGUGAACACCACGGUAAGGAAACUCAACUUGUGAAAUUUCCAGUUUGUCAACAUGAAAGUCCAGGUGGCAUAGAAAAACAGAGGAGUUAUUCUCAUUACAGAUUACUCUUUGAACCAGAUUCAUUCUUUGCUGGCAUUCUUUAAAAUCCCACUGCUCUCUAAACAUAAUUCAUUCUAUAUAAUUUAAUUUACUCAUCAAAUUUCAGGAAGAGCUCUAUUGGAAAAAAUGAGAUUGGUCAGCAUUUAUUUUACCAAAUGCACAGGGUAGGAUGAAAAUGGUUUGGAGGCAGCACAUAACAAAUCAUUUUUGCCUUCUCUCAAUCCACUCAGAAAUUAGACAAAUAGAAUAUGUUGUGGCACAAAUGAUAGGUGAUGGGUUGGUUUACUGAACACAGUCUCAGCCUAUGAGGAUUUCAUAGUGUCUGAUGGGAGACAUCAAAAUUAACAAUGGUAACAAUAAUAGUCUAAACAUGACAGAGGAAUACAGAGGAGAGUGCUGGUGGGGUGUUUGGGCAAGAGUCAUGAUAGACAAUGCAUCAGUAAGACCAUUAGAAAUUUGGUAAUUAGGGAUGUGGAGCCAGAGCAGGGCAGUGCCUACAGAGCUUCAUGAGUUGCUCAGAACACUCACACAGGGUCACCAGAUGAGUGAUGUAAAGGAGGGUGGAAAGACACACAGGGUCCAGCAGAAGGAGUUUCGUAAGCCAUCCCAUGUGAGAACUGGACUGCCCGCAGCCAAGGCCUCCCAGAUGGAGAGUGGUGCAGCCAGAGCCAGCUUUCUGGAAAUGUGAUGGCUUCUCUUCUAAUCUCCCCUCCAAGGACAGAGAGGCAGGAGCCAGGCGGGGCAACUGGCGAGCUCCUGCACUAAUUCUGAGUAUGAAGGGUACGUCCAUGGAUGUUCUGGGAUGAGAGUGGAGGCAACCUUGCCUCACCCACAGAACCAUCUGUGCAGUGCCACCUCUGCCCAUGCUGUCAUGGUUCUCCAUCCUCCUGUCCAGCCACACCUGGGGACCCUAUGGAGAGGUGGAAACGAAACUUCCUGUCUCCCCAGGACAGCAUGACAUUUAGAAAGCUGAGCUGGCCAUCUCCUCAGCCAUCCCUCCUGAGCUAUACAGCACUCUUAGCAACCUCACGUGUGUUUACACACGUGUCCCAACCUGCCACAGAAGCACCACACACACUGUCCCAACUUUGCACCCUCCAGCUCCGAAAUCUGACUGACAAGCAGAGAGUGAACAAUUUGUGUUUCUACGAUGAAUGAAGGGGCACAUGUGCCACCACCUCUCUCCUGUGACACUGUCAAUCACGAAUCGACAUUUAUAAUAUUUAAAAAUAAAUAUCCUUUUAAAACCUGGGCAUGUUGCCCUAUUGAUAAAAUUUGAUCGAAGAAACCACAAGUGUUUACAUAAAUGUUUCAGUUUUUAAAAAACCUUCCACAUUGACCUGAUCUCACUUUGCCAGAGUAAAGCAAGCAUCAAAGACAUUUUUUAAGUCAACCUCCUUCUCAGGCCUUUCUUGACAUGACAGAGUUUUUCCUAAGUUCACUGAAAUCAAAAACUUUUAGAAUGAGAUGAUUCUGACCAAAUCCUCUGGACUGAGUUGGACCUAGGGGUUUUCUAUGUUGGGUAAGAGGCUUCAGUGAACCAAAAUACAUAGGGAUCCAGCUCCCUGUCUCCCUCCCCUUGCUUACCUCUGAGUAUCAACAAGUGUGUCCUGCUACAUAACCACAUUUCAAGUGGAAGAACAAAUUGCAGGCCGUUUGGGCUCCAUAUCCCUAGUGGUGCCCCAUGUCAGCCCAAGGCCACAGCUACUUCAGCCACUCAGUCUUCUGACUCCAACAGGUUGGAUAAGGACUCUCAACUCAAGCAGUAACAUGUCAAUAUUGAAUACCCUCACAAGGAAGUGUAAUAAAUAUGAAAAUGCUGACUAUUGAUGAGUUCUUUUAUACAAAAAAAAGACCAUCAUAAAGAAGCUUUGUAAAUAAGCACAUUUUGGAAAAUAGAAGCAGUUGAGUGUUUGAGAAUCCUCUUUAGGUAAUGUGAAAUUCCUUCACAUUAUAUGUCUAUUUUACAGAAAUAGCAGGGCAGACUCUCUAUUAUAGAGUUCCUAUGGAAUUUUUUAUAGAGCAAAAAUGCCCAAAAAUUAUAAACUGAAGCUAAUGCAAGAAAAUAUAGAUAUGCAAAAGGAGGGAUUUUCAUUUGCUUAUAAUAAAACAUAUGUCACAAUCAAGUUAGACAGCUUAAAUUAUAAUUUUCAGGCAUAAAGAGUUUCAGGAAAGAAGCUGAGAGACACAUUCAUAAAUAUGCCUUGUUAUUUUCCCCAAAAGUGGCACAAUAAUUAAUAAAUGAGUCAAAAUUCUCAGUCUAUUUUUUUUUUCAAAAAAAGUUGAGAUGUUAACAGCGGGUAGUAAAUUUUGAAAAAUUUAUUACUUAUGCCCAGCUAUUGGGCAGGGACUGUUAGGCCCACAACUAUCAAAUAUAUAAUAAAACUGUGCUUCAAAUGAGAUUAUAAAUAAAACUGGAUGGACUAGGAAACCCCUUUUGAAAUGGUUAGUCCACAAAAUAAUAUUACUAGGCUAGAAUACAAAAGCUCUUAAUAACUGGAUACAGGCAAUUAAGAUCAAAGGGUUAUGAAACAAGAGAAAUAUAUGCUUCCAUGAUGUUUAAGCAUUUUGGAGUCAGGGAGCUCAGCCUGGGAUCUGAAGCACAGUGUCACCCCUGGUCCCCCGGCUCUGCUCCCUGGGUCCUCACCGGUAUCCACUCUGUGCUGGCCCUUUUCCUAACCACUGUGCUGCUCACACCCAGGUAUCACAUGCUCUCUUUCCUGGCCAUUGCUGCCAGCUCUUGGCUCACCUACCCUCACCUACUUGCUCCUUUCCAAUGCAUUCACCUGGAAACUUGCCAACCCUUGGCUGGCUUUCCUGUGCUUUGAGGGAAGGCUCCCAAGUUCCAGGACCCUGGUCAGAGGCUGUGGACACCCUUCUUCAGCCUGCCUGACCACUCUUUUCUUUCUGGUCUUCUCUUUCUCCUUCCUGCCCUCACUCUCUCCUCCUGUCCCCCUGCUUGCUUUCUCUCUCCCCCCACCCUUGCAUGUCUCCAUCUCUGUAGUCCAGGCACAGGGGCUCGAUUCCAUCCUUGAACCUGGCUCUCUCAUUUGCUGCACAAGGACUUUACUUGCUCUUUCCUUUACCUUAAAUGCUCUCCUGCUGUUUAAAAAUAAAACAAAUCAAAAAUUUUGUCCAAGUACAGCAUAUUCAGAGAUGCGUGUUAAGUCCCAAGUCUGCAUCUGCGUGAGCCAUCUGAAAGGGAGCACAGGCCUGUGUAGCACCACUCCAAGUACACGGUACCUGAGCUGGGUCAGCGGCUCUCCUGGUACUCUCCCCCAUGGACCAGGCCAACCCCUUCUCCUCUGAGACACUGCCAUUUUGCCCUCCAACACUGGUGAGCUCUGAACUUCAUGUAAAGGGGAUUAGACCACAUGUGCCCUUGAGCCUGGCUGUUGGACUCAGGCAUCUGCUGGGGAGACUCGUGAUGCUUGUCUUCACUGUGAUCUGUGACCCUGCUGUGAGCAUGCCCUCAUCAAUCCCUGUCAUCAUUAGCUGCUCAGAUAUGGAACGAUGCUGUGACUUGUAGUCCAAGUCUCUCCUUCCACAAUCCUGCUACUGUAAACACUAAUGUGGUGUGGCCCUGUAGUGUGUCAUUUUCCUUUUGUGAGUAUUUGUCAAUGUUUUUACCCAUUUGUUAACUCUAGUGUCUGAGAUUUUUUAAAUUUAUGUUGUAAAAUCUUUUAAUAUACCUAGGAUAUAAAUCAUUUGUCAGUUAAUAAGAAUUGGAAAUAUAUUUUAUUACUCUUUGAAUUAUAUUAACAUGAUGUUCCUUUUUCAACAAUAAUGUAGUAAGACUUGAUUUCUAAACAAAUCAAUCUUAAAUCUAAUCAAUUUUCAUCAAUGUUAAGUUUAUCAAUUUCAUUAGUUGCUUGGAAAACAACUUUUAGUUUGUUGAAGUGUAUCACACAUUUGUUUCCCACUUAAUAUUAAAGACAUUCAUAUGUACUAUUUUAUUAUUUUAAUUUCAUUUGCUG
This 6295-nucleotide long non-coding RNA is filed under the name Marmota monax (woodchuck). Lineage: Eukaryota; Metazoa; Chordata; Mammalia; Rodentia; Sciuridae. The record is from RNAcentral.